Paramuricea clavata is the source of this 513-nucleotide non-coding RNA. Lineage: Eukaryota; Metazoa; Cnidaria; Anthozoa; Malacalcyonacea; Plexauridae. The record is from the annotation of a GenBank genome assembly.
ACCACAGAUCAACGAGCGAAAACCACUUGCAAAGUGUUAAUGCAUAGCAAUCUUCUCAAUCAUUUCAAGUUUCAGGUCAAGGUUCAGGCACGGCCGAAAAUGAUGAUGGUUAUGAAAAAUAUCUUAUUGGAAUUAUAGUAUUAGCAAUUCUACUGGUCAGUUCAUUCGUUGUUACUGCUUAUUUUAUCUAUCAAAAUCGUCGACUCAAAUUAUCAAACACUAAAGCAAACGUGGUAACCACUAAUGAUGAAAUUCAUUCAAGACACAUUUAUGAUAUUCCUUUCAACAAUUGUGAACAAGUAGAUGAUGAACAGUCGACGUAUACAGCUCUCAAAAGACCUGGUCCUGAGGAAGUAAAUGAUGAUCAUUUAUAUGGUCAUCUAAUUAAUUAAGUACUGCAAAAUGGAUACGCAAAUCAGGGAGAAACUUGGAUUUAAUCAUGUCUUAUUAAUCCAUAGUUAAAGGACAUUGUUAGUAAACAUUUAUUUUGACUCAUUUGAAAGAACUUUUAAA